CCACGCGCCCCCGCCACUGGCGGCGCGUGGGUUCACGCGCCGCUGCAAGAAAAAACAGCAACCGGGGCUGGAUCGACUUCUUCUCAGCCUCCCCACGCCGGCGGUGACCUGCAGAACAAAAAAAGAACAACCACAGCAGUCGAUUUUAACUUUUUCUUAGUUUUUUUAGAUCUGUUUUUUUUUUCUUUUCUUCCCCAGAUCUGCUCCCGAUCUUCUUUCUUCCUCCCUUCUCUGUUUCAGGCGGGUCGGUUUGGCUGCGUGGACGGCGCUGUUCGGCUGAAGAAGGAGACGGCGGGUCUGAUGCGAUGGGGAACAGCUGGUUUCUGUGGGCACCGGGACUGUGGUUUCGAAGGAGGCGCCUUCGAGAGAAGAUCGAUGGAGGGGCUGCUGCGGGGGAAGA
This 400-nucleotide long non-coding RNA is filed under the name Populus tremula. RNAcentral describes it as "long non-coding RNA (PTRE_LNC002012)". The record is from RNAcentral. Lineage: Eukaryota; Viridiplantae; Streptophyta; Magnoliopsida; Malpighiales; Salicaceae.